RNAcentral lists this long non-coding RNA (525 nucleotides) under Capsicum annuum. Its description in RNAcentral is "long non-coding RNA (CANN_LNC020509)". The record is from RNAcentral. Lineage: Eukaryota; Viridiplantae; Streptophyta; Magnoliopsida; Solanales; Solanaceae.
GCAAACUCCUUCCAACCAAAACAAACAGGCAUGCCAUAGUAAUUUAUCCACACCUCACCUAUAUUAUCUUUAUUUUCAUACAUAAACCUACGCUUGAGAAGUUCAUAUACCAUUUUCAUUUGGAAACGAGCAUUAUUUUCCUCCAGCAAAUCAAGAUAUUUCCCAAAGCAGCUGUCCUUGAAAUAAGCAUCCAAUUUUUAUUCUUGAAGUAUUUUUCUAAAGGUUUCAAAAGAUUUUUCCAUGGCUGACUUAACCACGAAAUCACCCGUUAAAUCUGCGACACCAUCGCACUGCAUUCUCACAGGACAAUGAUCAUUGCUGAAGGCUUUGACCAGCUCUUCGGUGGAAGGGCUAUUAGUAUCUGCAUCAUCUCUUUUGAAAUAUUCCUUCUCCCCGUGUUCAUCAUAUUCUGCUCAAGAUAACACUUGUAAAGCAAGCUCAUAGAGUAGUGGAUGUAGCCUAGCUGCUUCACUUGUUCCUUUACUUGGACUUGAUUCGAUUUCUGUUCUUUUGGGAACAAUAUUA